GUGGUUUGUCGCGUUGUUCGUGAAAUCUCACGGCUUAACUGUGAGCGUGCGGGCGAUACGGGCAGACUUGAGUACUGCAGGGGAGACUGGAAUUCCUGGUGUAGCGGUGGAAUGCGCAGAUAUCAGGAGGAACACCGGUGGCGAAGGCGGGUCUCUGGGCAGUAACUGACGCUGAGGAGCGAAAGCGUGGGGAGCGAACAGGAUUAGAUACCCUGGUAGUCCACGCCGUAAACGGUGGGUACUAGGUGUGGGUUUCCUUCCUUGGGAUCCGUGCCGUAGCUAACGCAUUAAGUACCCCGCCUGGGGAGUACGGCCGCAAGGCUAAAACUCAAAGAAAUUGACGGGGGCCCGCACAAGCGGCGGAGCAUGUGGAUUAAUUCGAUGCAACGCGAAGAACCUUACCUGGGUUUGACAUGCACAGGACGCCGGCAGAGAUGUCGGUUCCCUUGUGGCCUGUGUGCAGGUGGUGCAUGGCUGUCGUCAGCUCGUGUCGUGAGAUGUUGGGUUAAGUCCCGCAACGAGCGCAACCCUUGUCUCAUGUUGCCAGCGGGUAAUGCCGGGGACUCGUGAGAGACUGCCGGGGUCAACUCGGAGGAAGGUGGGGAUGACGUCAAGUCAUCAUGCCCCUUAUGUCCAGGGCUUCACACAUGCUACAAUGGCCGGUACAAAGGGCUGCGAUGCCGCGAGGUUAAGCGAAUCCUUUUAAAGCCGGUCUCAGUUCGGAUCGGGGUCUGCAACUCGACCCCGUGAAGUC
Molecule: ribosomal RNA, 754 nt
Filed under: uncultured bacterium
Lineage: Bacteria
Description: bacterial SSU rRNA
Rfam family: Bacterial small subunit ribosomal RNA
Source: RNAcentral